RNAcentral lists this long non-coding RNA (200 nucleotides) under Cricetulus griseus (Chinese hamster). Its description in RNAcentral is "lncRNA (ENSCGRG00000025638.1)". Lineage: Eukaryota; Metazoa; Chordata; Mammalia; Rodentia; Cricetidae. The record is from RNAcentral.
GAGCUAUGUGCAUCUGAUGGUUUCAUUGCCAAAGGAAAGGCCAAAGCAGACGGCCAAGCUGAAAGGCGUGUGAGAGCUAAACCAAAGCUCAGCAUAAAUGACAUUCAAGGAUCAGAGGGUCCUUCACUGGGAAUGAAAGGACAAGGAGAUGUAGACAAAGGAGUCAUUAACGUCCAAGUUCUUUAAAUAAUGCUCACGAG